UACGUAGGCAGCAAGCGUUGUUCGGAGUUACUGGGCGUAAAGGGUGCGUAGGCGGCCCUGUAAGUAUGGUGUGAAACCUCCCGGCUUAACUGGGAGGGUGCGCUAUAGACUGCGGGGCUCGAGUGUGGGAGAGGAAAGUGGAAUUCCUGGUGUAGCGGUGAAAUGCGUAGAUAUCAGGAGGAACACCGGUGGUGUAAACGGCUUUCUGGACCAUAACUGACGCUGAGGCGCGAAAGCGUGGGGAGCAAACAGG
This 253-nucleotide ribosomal RNA is filed under the name uncultured bacterium. Its description in RNAcentral is "partial 16S ribosomal RNA". It matches the Rfam family "Bacterial small subunit ribosomal RNA", at positions 524 to 776 of the family's 1533-position model. The record is from RNAcentral.